CGGUGGGCUAGGCCGGAGGGCUAGGGGUCCUCUGUUACCGCAAACCCUCUAUACGGUAGGGCCGAAGUUCACGGGGCGGACAGAACAAUCCGUCCCGACCCCGUUCAUCGGUGUCGAAGCCACGUCCCGGUUGGUGGGCGUUGGCGGGCCCUUCGGGGCAACCGCCUUCGCUUGGUGAACCCGUCAGGCCUUGAUCGGAGCAGCGGUAGUCGAGGCGUUCCACGCUUCCGGGGUUGCGGGGUGGAGCCUGAGCGGGACCUCCGGGACGGUGCGGGACGUUCCACCCGAGGACGUGUCCACCG
RNAcentral lists this signal recognition particle RNA (302 nucleotides) under Candidatus Undinarchaeales archaeon. RNAcentral's name for it is "signal recognition particle sRNA". It matches the Rfam family "Archaeal signal recognition particle RNA". Lineage: Archaea; Nanobdellati; Candidatus Undinarchaeota; Candidatus Undinarchaeia; Candidatus Undinarchaeales. The record is from RNAcentral.